AAAAAAAGAAAGAGGAUUUUAAGGGUUAAGAGUCGCCUCCCCAAAAACCCUCGUCUCUUCUGCUUCUUCUCCUUCAAAUCUCUCUCUUAUCUCUCACUUUCUUCACCAAAUCCUCAGAAGAUGAGCAACGACAAGGACAACUUCAACGUCUCCGAUCUUACUGCUGCUCUUAAAGAUGGGGAUCGAGCUGACCUUGUCAAUGCUCUAAAGAACAAGCUGCAGAAUCUGGCGGGUCAGCGUUCUGAUGUGCUCGAGAAUCUGACUCCUAUUGUGAGAAAGCGUGUCGAUGCCUUGAGGGAUAUACAGAGCCAACAUGAUGAACUAGAGGCAAAAUUCCGUGAAGAGAGAGCUAUUCUUGAAGCCAAGUAUCAAAAGUUGUAUCAGCCUUUGUAUACCAAGCGUUAUGAGAUUGUAAACGGAACUACUGAAGUUGAACUGGCUGCAGAGGAUAUUAAGGUGGACCAAGGAGAGGAAAAAACUGCAGAAGAGAAAGGAGUUCCAAGUUUCUGGCUGACAGCCCUGAAAAACAAUGAUGUUAUUUCCGAGGAGGUCACAGAGCGUGAUGAAGGGGCUCUCAAAUAUCUUAAAGAUAUUAAGUGGUGCAAGAUUGAAGAACCUAAAGGAUUUAAACUUGAGUUUUUCUUUGAUACGAAUCCGUAUUUUAAGAACACUGUCUUGACAAAGUCUUAUCACAUGAUUGAUGAAGAUGAGCCACUGCUUGAGAAGGCUACGGGGACAGAAAUUGAUUGGUAUCCUGGAAAGUGUCUAACUCAGAAGAUUCUUAAGAAGAAGCCUAAGAAAGGUUCAAAGAAUGCUAAACCAAUCAUUAAAACCGAAGACUGUGAAAGCUUCUUCAACUUCUUUAGUCCUCCAGAAGUUCCGGAUGAAGAUGAAGAUAUCGACGAGGAAAGAGCUGAGGAUCUUCAAAAUCUGAUGGAACAAGAUUAUGACAUUGGAUCUACUAUUCGGGACAAGAUUAUUCCUCGUGCUGUCUCAUGGUUUACUGGUGAGGCUAUGGAAGCAGAGGAUUUUGAAAUAGACGGCGAUGAGGAAGAUGACAUUGAGGAGGAUGAUGAAGAGGAUGAGGAAGACGAAGAUGAUGAGGAGGAUGAUGAUGAUGAGGAUGAGGAGGAUGAAGAAGAAAGCAAGACCAAAAAGAAGGUAUAAAGUGCCCCAGCCAUCAAUCAGAAACAAGGAAAUCCAGAGGCUCUAGAAGCCCAUGAAUCAUACAGAUUUCUGAAAGUCACCGAGCAAGCCUAAAAAGCAUGAGUCAGUAACGAGGUCGUUAUGUAUAAGACUCUGAGAAGGAUACAUGAAUGACGCAGCAGAGACUUAACAAGAUCUUUAAUCAUGGCAUGGAAAGGAGGGAGAUCUCAGAUAGUUGGUGAUGGUGAACGAGGUGAGAGGCCACCCGAAUGCAAGCAACAGUAAUCUCUACGCUCUACCAAACAAGGACUGCGUGAAAAAUAUGUGUCUGUUCAUCAAGAAUGACGAUUGAGAAAAAGUUUUGGGUUUUUUAAAGUAAAAUUCAUCUCCAUAUUGAUGAUGCUCGUAGGAGUUUUGAUCAUUUUUCUAUCGGUGUGUUUAUUUUUUCUAAAUCACUUUAAUAGUAAACCUUCGUGUUUAAUUUAAGAAUCAAUGAAUCACCAUCCCCUUCUCAGUC
RNA transcript from Arabidopsis lyrata subsp. lyrata, 1663 nucleotides. It is a transcript of the gene named nucleosome assembly protein 1;1, with no coding region annotated. The record is from RefSeq and is a predicted model, not a curated record. Lineage: Eukaryota; Viridiplantae; Streptophyta; Magnoliopsida; Brassicales; Brassicaceae. The transcript has 13 exons.